UACGUAGGUGGCAAGCGUUGUCCGGAUUUACUGGGCGUAAAGGGAGCGUAGGUGGAUAUUUAAGUGGGAUGUGAAAUACUCGGGCUUAACCUGGGUGCUGCAUUCCAAACUGGAUAUCUAGAGUGCAGGAGAGGAAAGGAGAAUUCCUAGUGUAGCGGUGAAAUGCGUAGAGAUUAGGAAGAAUACCAGUGGCGAAGGCGCCUUUCUGGACUGUAACUGACACUGAGGCUCGAAAGCGUGGGGAGCAAACAGG
Molecule: ribosomal RNA, 253 nt
Filed under: Clostridium butyricum
Lineage: Bacteria; Bacillati; Bacillota; Clostridia; Eubacteriales; Clostridiaceae
Description: partial 16S ribosomal RNA
Rfam family: Bacterial small subunit ribosomal RNA
Source: RNAcentral